GAAUAUUGGACAAUGGGCGCAAGCCUGAUCCAGCCAUACCGCGUGGGUGAAGAAGGCCUUCGGGUUGUAAAGCCCUUUUGUUGGGAAAGAAAAGCCAUGGGUUAAUACCCUGUGGUUCUGACGGUACCCAAAGAAUAAGCACCGGCUAACUUCGUGCCAGCAGCCGCGGUAAUACGAAGGGUGCAAGCGUUACUCGGAAUUACUGGGCGUAAAGCGUGCGUAGGUGGUUGUUUAAGUCUGUCGUGAAAGCCCUGGGCUCAACCUGGGAAUUGCGAUGGAAACUGGGCGACUAGAGUGUGGCAGAGGGUAGUGGAAUUCCUGGUGUAGCAGUGAAAUGCGUAGAGAUCAGGAGGAACAUCCGUGGCGAAGGCGACUGCCUGGGCCAACACUGACACUGAGGCACGAAAGCGUGGGGAGCAAACAG
This 424-nucleotide ribosomal RNA is filed under the name uncultured bacterium. RNAcentral describes it as "bacterial SSU rRNA". It matches the Rfam family "Bacterial small subunit ribosomal RNA", at positions 359 to 775 of the family's 1533-position model. The record is from RNAcentral.